This 175-nucleotide non-coding RNA is filed under the name Palpitomonas bilix. The record is from RNAcentral.
AAAAAAAAAACAAUAAAAAAAAUAGAACAACUUGUGCUAUUUUGUCCGUACGUGCUCAUGUGCUCACCAUUUCCCAUUUCCCCCGCUUUUUUCUUGUUCCUCUCUCUUGCUUCUCUUCGUUCACUGCUACUUGGACAGGAGAGCAGGAGAGAAUAGAGGCAUCAUUACAAAAAAA